GACGAACGCUGGCGGCGUGCUUAACACAUGCAAGUCGAACGGAAAGGCCCUGCUUUUGUGGGGUGCUCGAGUGGCGAACGGGUGAGUAACACGUGAGUAACCUGCCCUUGACUUUGGGAUAACUUCAGGAAACUGGGGCUAAUACCGGAUAGGAGCUCCUGCUGCAUGGUGGGGGUUGGAAAGUUUCGGCGGUUGGGGAUGGACUCGCGGCUUAUCAGCUUGUUGGUGGGGUAGUGGCUUACCAAGGCUUUGACGGGUAGCCGGCCUGAGAGGGUGACCGGCCACAUUGGGACUGAGAUACGGCCCAGACUCCUACGGGAGGCAACAGUGGGAAAUAUUGCACAAUGGGCGGAAGCCUGAUGCAGCAACGCCGCGUGCGGGAUGACGGCCUUCGGGUUGUAAACCGCUUUCGCCUGUGACGAAGCGUGAGUGACGGUAAUGGGUAAAGAAGCACCGGCUAACUACGUG
Molecule: ribosomal RNA, 468 nt
Filed under: uncultured bacterium
Lineage: Bacteria
Description: partial 16S ribosomal RNA
Rfam family: Bacterial small subunit ribosomal RNA
Source: RNAcentral